UUGGAGAAGUUCGGUUUACGCGCCGCGUUUUUACGGUGUUGUUGCCGGGGGCCGAAGGGGCAAGCCAAUUUUUGGUGAAACUCUCAGGCAAAAGGACAAAGU
Molecule: non-coding RNA, 102 nt
Filed under: human gut metagenome
Description: Glycine riboswitch
Rfam family: Glycine riboswitch aptamer
About the family: This family represents the bacterial glycine riboswitch. Glycine riboswitches usually consist of two metabolite-binding aptamers domains with similar structures in tandem. The aptamers cooperatively bind glycine to regulate the expression of downstream genes.
Source: RNAcentral